UUGAAACUCAAUCAUUAUUUCAUUAAAACGCUAAAUGCUCCACUCAAAUUUACUCAUAAUUAUGCCAUUAGAAACUUUUAUUCUACUCUCACAGCUCGCUAUUGCACUUCUGUAGUGCAUUUCUAUGUUGCAUUUAUUUCACGUAGUGAGACAACCAUUCAUAAAAUUUCAAAUUUGAAUAAACCAGAAUUUAACCAUGUAUACAGCAUUUUACAAACACGUAGAUAUUUGUUCCUACUACCUUUUCUUAGGGGACGCAAAUGCAGUCUAUGGUGUUAUAAACAUGAGAUUACAAGGUUUCAGGUUAACUGUACCAGGACUUGGCACAGUUGUAUCGUUUGGCUGCUGAUCUCCUAUGUCCUUCAUUUUCGCUGA
This is a non-coding RNA of Vicia faba (fava bean), 375 nucleotides long. The record is from the annotation of a GenBank genome assembly. Lineage: Eukaryota; Viridiplantae; Streptophyta; Magnoliopsida; Fabales; Fabaceae.